CAGCAGCAGCCGCGGUAAUACGAAGGGUGCAAGCGUUAAUCGGAAUUACUGGGCGUAAAGCGUGCGUAGGCGGUGAGUUAAGUCUGCUGUGAAAUCCCCGGGCUCAACCUGGGAAUGGCAGUGGAUACUGGCUCGCUAGAGUGUGUCAGAGGAUGGUGGAAUUCCCGGUGUAGCGGUGAAAUGCGUAGAGAUCGGGAGGAACAUCAGUGGCGAAGGCGGCCAUCUGGGACAACACUGACGCUGAGGCACGAAAGCGUGGGGAGCAAACAGGAUUAGAUACCCCAGUAGUCCCUGUCUCUUAUAA
RNAcentral lists this ribosomal RNA (304 nucleotides) under uncultured bacterium. Its description in RNAcentral is "partial 16S ribosomal RNA". It matches the Rfam family "Bacterial small subunit ribosomal RNA", at positions 506 to 809 of the family's 1533-position model. The record is from RNAcentral.